CUGCAGGCAGCCACAUCAGAUCGCCAGGUAUGAUUUCCACAGCCAAUGGAAACCCAACUGACAAGAUACAACCUCACCUGCUUUUUUUACCAGCAAAAAAACUCACCUUUUUUUCUAAUAUCCGUCUGCGAGAUCGCUAGUGCCCAAGAGCCUGCCCCGGCAUAUGAGCCGCCGCGCCCACCCUGAACGUCCCCUGAACCAGCCGACCACAUGCAGUUGUAAUUCUUCCCUGCACUUCUUCAGGUCCUAACAUCCAAAUUUCUAGGGUUAAGAUACCCCAACUCAGCAGAAUACGUGAUCCAGAUUGCACAAUCAAAGAUGUUGGGAGGAGAAGUUGUCCUAGAGGUAGGUAAAUAAGGACAUGUCUGACACUGAAGCUGCCAAGUGAGCCACUGAUUCUGACACUGCAACGCUUAUCCCAAACACAAAUAGUGGGAGCUUAGAAGGUUCAAGCAGCAAAGGCCACAAAGACCACCUGGUUCAGAGACAACGGCGAGGUUGUUCGAUUCACUGGCAAGGAAGAGAGGGACAAUGAAGUGCUGACCAAGGUGGAGCUGAAAGAGCUCUGGGAGCAACUCAAUCACCAGGGUUUCGACAACCGUCACCAAACAUGCAUCGACAUGGUUGACAAAAUGCUGAGGGAAGAAUCACAUCCGAGGAUGUUAAGGAGCAAACAAACUUUCAAAUAUCAAGGAGCGAGCGUAUGAGUACACAGUCCUCGUCAGCAAGAAUUUGACCCUAACGAUUUGGGCUACAUAGAGGUAUGUGUAUGUCCAAGCGAAGCCUCGCCAUCUCGACAGGCGAUGUCUCACCAGGAAAAAUAUGAACAGAAGUCAAGGCAAAAGCAUCGGAUACCAACCAGCGUGGUGACUGUGUAGUUCCUCUUGCCUUCCACAAGCCGGCGUGCAUGUAGCAGUCAGCCUGCGCGGUCUCCCUUGGCACAAAGAUAGCGAGGCCGGCAACGUCGUCGGUGAGGAAGUUGGGGAUGUUGGUGACGCGGGUGCGGCGCUCCCGGUACUUGGGAGGUCGACGUAGUCCGUCCCCACAGAGAAGGACGGCGGCACAUCGAUGCGGCAUCGGGGUUGCCAAUGAGGGGCCGAUGGCGGAGGCGUUGGCGCGAAGGAACUAGGCGUGCCCAUCGGGUAGGGAGUCCCAGUAGCGGAAGAGGCGGAAGCGAAGGUCGAGAUCCUGCUCUAGGUGAGCGUUCCUCCGGAGCAGCAGCAGUAGCACGCCCAGGGUCGCCAUCGCCGGCCGUCGGGAGGACCGAGGACGGCAGCGGCUGGCUGUUUGUGUGGUGGGUGGUGGCGCUCUGCGCCGGCCUUUUUGCUAGCGUUUUAUUUUUCUUUUGAUUUUCUAGGAGCAGUGGGGAGACAAUGAAAUGAUAAGGUUUGGUGAUGUGUGAGGUGUAAGAGGGAGGCACGAGGCAAAGAGCGUCGGUGUGUCCAGUUCUUUCUUCCCUUUUUCUUUCUUUAUCGAUGGCUCUUUAGUCAAGUACUAUUCUGUAAACUAAUAUAAGACAUUUUAGAUUUACAGAGGGAGUAACAAUUAAGUAA
Triticum aestivum (bread wheat) is the source of this 1553-nucleotide long non-coding RNA. RefSeq lists it as uncharacterized. The record is from RefSeq and is a predicted model, not a curated record. The transcript is spliced from 6 exons. Lineage: Eukaryota; Viridiplantae; Streptophyta; Magnoliopsida; Poales; Poaceae.